GAAACAAAUGAUUAAUCUCCAUUUGUGACAUGUUUCCAUCUGACUACUCUGCUCUCCAGAUGUCAAAGCCAUUCCAUAUCAUCCUGGCUGCUGCUUUCAACCGACAGCUCUUUCAGGCCAAUCUCUUAAAAUGCCAGCUGCUUCAAAAGUGGCAGAAUUAAUCCAUGUGUUCAUCUGCAAGCUUAAAAUAUUGUACCCUUUCCUUCACUGGUGUGUGUCAGCACAAAGUGUCAGCCUCAUGUAUUGGAUCAUGAACCAAAUUCAAUACCUGCUCAUAAUACCUAUGGAAAUGAUACCAUAUAUACCUGGAUUCACAUCCCACUUUAUUCUACUUGGGACCAGAAACCCCACAAGAGAACAAAGCUUGUUCACUGAUAAAUGUCCACAUCUCUUCCAGGAUCUAACAAGAGUUUGUGCUCAAAGUAAGAGUGAAAGCCCUGAGAGCCGGAAGGGAUGAAAGACAGGACUUCAUCGUGACCCAAGGAUCUUCACCCAUCAAACAAAAUGGUGUGAUGGGGAAAGAGACCUGAGCUUACAUGGGCCUGAUUCCACGUCCUGGCUUUGCUAUGAUCUAGCCAAGAGCAAGUCAGUUCUGAGAGUCUCUGUUUCUACAUCUGCAGAGUAGGUCUUCCAAUAAAUUACUACUUGAGA
Mustela lutreola (European mink) is the source of this 651-nucleotide long non-coding RNA. RefSeq lists it as uncharacterized. NCBI's taxonomy places the organism in Eukaryota, Metazoa, Chordata, Mammalia, Carnivora, Mustelidae. The transcript is spliced from 6 exons. The record is from RefSeq and is a predicted model, not a curated record.